GACGAACCGAGCGAACGUUGUUCGGAAUCACUGGGCUUAAAGGGCGCGUAGGCGGGCUGUCAAGUUUGGGGUGAAAUCCCGCGGCUCAACCGUGGAACUGCCUCAAAUACUGACGGUCUCGAGGGAGAUAGGGGCAAGCGGAACUAAUGGUGGAGCGGUGAAAUGCGUUGAUAUCAUUAGGAACUCCGGUGGCGAAGGCGGGUCUCUGGGCAGUAACUGACGCUGAGGAGCGAAAGCGUGGGGAGCGAACAGG
This 253-nucleotide ribosomal RNA is filed under the name uncultured bacterium. RNAcentral's name for it is "partial 16S ribosomal RNA". It matches the Rfam family "Bacterial small subunit ribosomal RNA", at positions 524 to 776 of the family's 1533-position model. The record is from RNAcentral.